RNAcentral lists this ribosomal RNA (301 nucleotides) under uncultured bacterium. RNAcentral's name for it is "partial 16S ribosomal RNA". It matches the Rfam family "Bacterial small subunit ribosomal RNA", at positions 509 to 807 of the family's 1533-position model. The record is from RNAcentral.
CAGCAGCCGCGGUAAGACAGAGGAUGCAAGCGUUAUCCGGAAUGAUUGGGCGUAAAGCGUCUGUAGGUGGCUUUUCAAGUCCGCCGUCAAAUCCCAGGGCUCAACCCUGGACAGGCGGUGGAAACUACCAAGCUGGAGUACGGUAGGGGCAGAGGGAAUUUCCAGUGGAGCGGUGAAAUGCGUUGAGAUCGAAAAGAACACCAACAGCGAAAGCACUCUGCUGGGACGACACUGACACUAAGAGACGAAAGCUAGGGGAGCAAAUGGGAUUAGAGACCCCUGUAGUCCCUGUCUCUUAUAC